GGAUUGCCCCAGUAACGGCGAGUGAAGCGGCAAUAGCUCAAAUUUGAAAUCUGGCCCCUUUGGGGUCCGAGUUGUAAUUUGUAGAGGAUGCUUCGGCGUAGGCCCCGGGUUAGGUUCCUUGGAACAGGACGUCAUAGAGGGUGAGAACCCCGUCUUUGCCUGGGAUCCCUUCGCCAUGUGAAGCUCCUUCGACGAGUCGAGUUGUUUGGGAAUGCAGCUCUAAGCGGGAGGUAAAUUUCUUCUAAAGCUAAAUAACGGCCAGAGACCGAUAGCGCACAAGUAGAGUGAUCGAAAGAUGAAAAGCACUUUGGAAAGAGAGUUAAAAAGCACGUGAAAUUGUUGAAAGGGAAGCUCUUGCUACCAGACUUGCCUGUGGUUGUUCAGCCGUUCUUCUGAUCGGUGUACUCUUCCACUGGCAGGCCAGCGUCAGUUUAGGCGGCCGGAUAAAGACCUUGGGAAUGUAGCUUCCUCCGGGGGGUGUUAUAGCCUGGGGUGCAAUGCGGCCAGCCUGGACUGAGGACCGCGUCUUACUAGGAUGCUGGCGUAAUGGUCGCAAGCGACCCGUCUUGAAACACGGACCAAGGAGUCUAACAUCUGUGCGAGUGUUUGGGUGCAAAACCCAUACGCGUAAUGAAAGUGAACGGAGGUGGGAACCGUAAGGUGCACCAUCGACCGAUCCUGAUGUCUUCGGAUGGAUUUGAGUAAGAGCAUAGCUGUUGGGACCCGAAAGAUGGUGAACUAUGCGUGGAUAGGGUGAAGCCAGAGGAAACUCUGGUGGAGGCUCGCAGCGGUUCUGACGUGCAAAUCGAUCGUCAAAUCUGCGUAUAGGGGCGAAAGACUAAUCGAACCAUUACUUGGCUAUACCAGUAUUGCUAGGUGGUUAAGAGGUGGCUUAAAGGGCCACCUAGUAACGGGGUCUUGAAGGCUCUAGUUGCGAUAUCAUCAAAUUGCGGGAACUCGCAGUUAAUCCUAGGCUACCGCUAGACCCUCGUCAUUUGUAGAGGGUUGUGCACCGGAGGUAACGCUACCGGGUAUGGUAACAACGCCUAGGCUAUGCGUAAUCUGCAGCCAAGUCCUUUUUAACAAUGGAUGCAGUUCACAGGCCAAAUGGUGAUAGGUCUAGCUAGGCGGACUAGAAUGCCGCCAGUUAUGGCUUAAGAUAUGGUCGCACCCCUCUUUAGACGGAGGGGACCGGAGGAACUUCUCUUUUCAAAUCUAUGCAUUUCGAACCUGGCAAAUACUAGGGCGAUGCUAUUGAAUUGAGACUCCCUCUAGGUCUUGUGCUAGUAGCUGGUUCCAGCCGAAGUUUCCCUCAGGAUAGCAGUAACGUUUUCAGUUUUAUGAGGUAAAGCGAAUGAUUAGAGGCCUUGGGGAUGCAACAUCCUUAACCUAUUCUCAAACUUUAAAUAUGUAAGA
This 1416-nucleotide ribosomal RNA is filed under the name Lichenostigma chlaroterae. RNAcentral describes it as "LSU rRNA". It matches the Rfam family "Eukaryotic large subunit ribosomal RNA", at positions 72 to 1078 of the family's 3401-position model. The record is from RNAcentral. Lineage: Eukaryota; Fungi; Ascomycota; Arthoniomycetes; Lichenostigmatales; Phaeococcomycetaceae.